CUCUAACCUCAAAAAAACGAUCAUGUCGAUAAAACCGUCAUAAAGCAGAUAAUCGUUUAUCCUCCCCCCUUCUCUCUAAUAUAAUUAAAAGUAAUUUAUUCGGUGAGCUUGUAAAAGAGAAAAUGUCAUUGCGUGGGUGGUGGAUACAGUGACAACGACAAUUAAGAAAUUUAUGAAAUUUAUCUCUCAUCAUCCAUUGUAUGUGAGAACGGGUCAAAUUUUUUAGCUUUCCUCUCUCUCUUUCUACAAAUCAGAAUUGUUCGGAACAUCCCGAGCCCAACCGGCGGGCGAUGCGCGAACAGCAAUGAGUGCAAAGCGCGCCGCGUGCCCGACGGGUUUUGGUAAUGUCGCGCUCGCGAAAAUGAUUAUCGAAUUCGUAUACAUAUAAUUAUGCAGUGAGUGCUUUAGAAUUAAUAUCACACGGCCACGAGGGACCUUGAAGAGACCAUGUCGCGAUACUGGUACAAUCAUUGAAUAUACCAUAUAUAAAUUCGAGAAUAACAAAAACAAAGAGAGACACAAGGAAUUGCAGAAAAGGUCGGGUAUUUCGUUCACACCCGACCCGGCUGUCAGGACGCCAUGUUUUUCAAUCGAAAACCGAUGGCGAAGUUUAUCACGCUAACAUUUUACUCUCUUCUUCUUGCUUGUGCUUCGUCUCAAAAUGAUUUGGGAGCAGCGGAAAAUGCGGAAACAGGAAAAGAGCCGUCGAUGCAUGUUGAAGUGUCUCAGGAUGCUGAAGGUAUUGAAGCCGGUAGCACGCCUUCAUUAACGUGUCAAUUUAGCGAGCCAGGUCAUAUUGUUUGGCUUUCGCCAGGAAGAAAUUUGACCUUCGUUAAAGAGUCAAAGGAAAAAGUGAGAUUAGAUCUGAAACCGGCUCGUCGACAAGAUACGGGCAAUUACACUUGUCGUGCACAAACGGAAUCUGGCAAAUUGGUCGAUAAAACAAUUGGUAUUCGUGUCAUAGAACCGGGGAGAAUAGAACCUGGGGAAAAAGUGCGAAUAAAAGUAUUGGAAGAGGCGACAUUAACGUGUCAUAUUUACGGUGAUCCGGUGAAUAAUUUGAGUUGGUCGAAAGGCAACGAUUCGGAUAAUCAAGGACACUUGAAGGAUCAUAUGAAUAUAACGCGUGUUAAUGAGACUUAUGUGCAAUUGACAUUGAAUUUUCCGAGUGUGACGAGAAAGGACAAUGGAACUUACAUUUGUCACGCGGAAGAUUACAGUAAACGAAGUCUGGCAGCUGAAGUGCAUCUUUUUGUGAUUGAAGUGCCACAAGUCAGUAUUGACUUUAUGAAGGCAGUCGGCGCUGGGAGUAUAUUUUUGAAUUGGACCGUAAACAAUGGCAAUGAACCAAUAAAAAGGUAUUAUAUUCAGAAUUUAAAGAAAGGCACCGAUCAAUGGCAAUAUAAUAAAGAACAAAUUGGAGGCGGUAUCACGAGCUAUGUUGUCAAUGGAUUAGAAAAAACAACGCCAUAUCAAAUUAAAAUUAGCGCCGAAAAUUCUGUUGGUAAAUCGCAUAUUCAAAUUGAUCCCCGAUGGAUUACAACCUUAGACGAAGAUCCAAUUUUUAUUCCAACUGUUGUGAUGAAUGGAGCGAAUGAAAAUUCGAUAACAAUCACCUGGACAACACCACCGGCGCAUUUAAAGGAGCAUGUACAUUUUUAUAAUUUGAAAGCAACGCACAAGGAAGAAAAUUUAGAGACGACUUAUCCAGCUAAACCUGAAUCUUAUUAUGCGUUUAUGAAUCUCGAACCGAUGACAACUUACAAUUUUAAAGUACAAGCGUGCAGUGAAUAUACGAAACAAUGCGGAAACUGGAGCGCGGAGAUAAAUGGCACCACUUAUGAUGGAGCUGCAAGUCCUCCACGAAAUUUGUCCGUCACGUGUCGUUACGAUAACAUAAGCAGCACCAGUUUUCUCACUCUCAGCUGGGAAUCGCCAGAAAAGCCGAAUGGCGUCAUUGAUCGUUAUGGUGUUAAUUUGACGGGAAUUUCUGUCUAUCGAAACGACUUGGGACGACUGGAGGUCGAUAACUGGGGACCGAGCGAUAAAAAUGCCCUCGGCACUGCACGUUCUUAUCACUUUAAUCAGAUACCCCCUAAUACGAAUUACACGGUAACACUGCGUGGAAUUACGCGACAUCGAAGUACAGGAAAGGAGGCGAGCGCGAAUUGUACAAUGCCGCCGUCAGUGCCGGAUAAGGACAGUUUAAAUUUACGAACAUGGCGUAAAAUUGACUAUGAAGGACGAAAAUUAUUUAAACUCUAUUUGCCGCGUAUUUCCGAGAGGAACGGUCCAAUUUGUUGUUAUCGUGUAUUUAUGGUGAAAUUAAAUCAACAAAAGACAAUUGCCGAUUUACCAUUGCCUGAGGAUAUUUCCGUUUAUUCGUAUAAUUAUGUUCACUCGGAGAAUUCAAAUGGUGCAUAUCUUGCGGAAAUGUUUGACAGCAAGCAUUUAAUGACAGAAGUGUUUCUCGGUAAUGGCGAAUCGUUCAAUGGAAGUAGCGAGUGUGAUAAGUGCAUUGGAUUGAGACCAAAACCAAUACCAACUGAACUUCAUUUUAUACCCGAGUCGAGUGGCGGUAAUUCAUCAAUUACAACGUCGACGACGACGACUUUGAGUUCUGUCGGUGUGUCGAGUCCUUCACAGCCGGAAAUCACGACGAGUGUUCCAAUUGGUUUCACAGGAUCGCCAGCGAGAAGGCGGAGAGACGAGGCGAGUGGAAGUGAGGCAGUGGAAUUGCAACCUUUUCCACCGCAGGAUGGAUUUUUGGACGAGAAGGCAAAUUACACUGGGUUCAUCGAAGUUGUUGUUUAUGGCAGCAAAGAGGGACAAGUACUGACAGCUUAUAGUAGUUACUUUACACCUCUUUAUGGUGGAGUUGAAAUUUUGACAGCAGCUGCGGAAGAUACAACGACUCUUGGUUUUAUUUUGCAAAUUUCGAUUUUCAUGGUUGUACUAAUCGUCGUAUUACUCGUUACCCUCUGCAUUAUGGUGAAAUACUCGAAACGUUCUCAACAGCAAGGCGAGGAAAUUAUCACACUAACAGACAGUUUCAGACAUCUUUGCAGAAGUUUAAGAGGUCGUCAUCAAUUGGUGGCGGCGAGUCCUCCGGACAUGCCACCGGUUCAAAAAGGAGAACUCUAUCAAUCAUUCAUCGAUCGUCAUCGAAAUUCUGAUUAUGGAUUUCAGCAUGAAUUUGAACUUCUACCAGAUAAAUUUACCGAUCGUACAACGCGUGCCUCGGAAAUGCGUGAGAAUCUCUAUAAAAAUCGUUAUCCCGACAUAAAGUGUUACGAUCAAACACGCGUUCGUCUAACACAAAUUGACGGCAUUUGUGGAUCAGAUUAUAUAAAUGCAAACUUUGUCCUUGGCUAUAAGGAACGAAAGAAAUUCAUUUGCGCUCAGGGCCCAAUGGAGAAUACUGUUUGUGAUUAUUGGCGAAUGAUUUGGGAACAACAUCUGGAAUUGGUAUUGAUGUUGACAAAUCUUGAGGAGUAUUCGAAGACGAAGUGUGCAAAAUAUUGGCCCGAUACGAGUGAGACGAAGAAUUUUGGUGAUAUUACGGUGGAUCAUGUGAGAGAGAGGGCGUAUUCGGAUUAUGUUGUGAGGGAAUUGAAAAUGUCGAGAAGUGGUGAACGUGAAUCGAGGACAAUUGUUCAAUAUCAUUUUCUUGUUUGGAAAGAUUUUAUGGCACCUGAACAUCCGCACGCUAUUUUGAAAUUUAUCAAGAGAGUGAAUGAGGCUUAUUCAUUGGAGAAGGGGCCAAUUUUGGUGCAUUGCAGCGCUGGUGUUGGACGAACGGGAACGUUGGUUGCAUUGGAUUCACUUCUUCAGCAAUUGUCCGACGAGGGACAAGUCUCGAUUUUUAAUACUGUUUGCGAUUUGAGGCAUCAACGAAAUUUCCUCGUGCAAUCGUUGAAGCAGUAUAUUUUUAUCUAUAGAGCUCUCAUGGAAAUGGCGCAGUAUGGCGAUACGGAAAUUCAGGCUUCGCAAAUGAAGGCCGCGGGCGAGAGACUGAGGCAGAGGGAGAACGGAAAGGAAAUGUGUCGAAUGGAAGAGGAAUACGAAAAAAUUGUGGCAGUCUUGGAGGAUCGAAAGUCGUUUUCGGUUGGCGGCGCAGAUGAGAAUAAGGGGAAAAAUCGUGAUGAUUCAGUGAUACCGUACGAUAGAAAUCGAGUGAUAUUAACCCCAGUUCCUGGACGAGAGCAUUCUACCUAUAUUAAUGCAUCAUUUAUCGAGAGUUACGAUAAUUCCGAGUCAUUUAUCAUCACACAAGAUCCAAUGGAGUCAACGAUCGCCGAUUUUUGGCGAAUGAUUUCCGAACAUUGUAUAUCGACAAUCGUCAUGCUUUCAGAUUUGAACGAGGGAUACAGAAAAUGUCCGCGAUACUGGCCGGACGAUGAGACAAUGCACGAUCACAUAAGAGUGCGUUACAUACAAAGUGAGAGUUGUCCAUAUUACACGAGACGUGAAUUGUGCGUUUCAAAUACAAAAAUGGAUGAAAAUAUUGUCGUUACACAAUAUCAAUAUCAUGGUUGGCCUACUGUCGAGGGUGAAGUGCCGGAAGUCACUAGAGGCCUCAUUGAACUCGUCAAUCAGACGCAAUCGAAUGGCACGGAAAGUACCGGACCACUAGUCGUUCACUGCAGCUGUGGCUCCGACAGGAGUUCCAUGUUUGUAGCCCUUAGCAUAUUAGUUCAACAACUCAGAACCGAGAAGCGAAUAGAUAUAUUCACGACGACAAAGAAAUUACGAUCGCAGAGGCACGGGAUGAUCAGUUCUUUCGCACAGUACGAAUUUCUGCAUCGAGCAAUUGUGAAUUACUCGGAUCUGCACAAUCUUGCCGACGAUGAACCAGCCUCUUAAUGAAGGGAGGUGAAAGGUUAGGCCCGAUGGACUCUGCAAUUUAUUUUCCUUUGCUUUACGGUUUUUGCUCUAAAAACACAAAAAAAGUGAGCAACGCAAGUUUUGUACGUAGAAACCUAUCAAGAGAAAAUUAAAAGGAACCAUCUUUAUUAUCUUGGAAAUCGUCGAGGAUUGUUUUUUGUCGUGAAAUAUUAAGAGUAUUCACUGGAUCGAAUCUCAAGUUACCCACAAGAAAUGAAGAAAAAGGGCUUUCUCACAAACUGAAAAUGUUGAGGCCACCGUUUUUGCAGUAACUAGUGAAAAAAAGAAGCCCAGGAAGUGAAAAAAAGAAAAACUACGAUUAUCAUCAUUCACAAGUGGAGAGAAGAAAAAACUGAUUAGUUUUACAAGUUUAUUUUUUGAACGCGAUAUUUUUAUAUAUAUACCAUUUAGAUAUAUAUAUUGUGUACUUUUGUAUAAAUUACUAAUUGCCAAUUAGUAAUGAAGCGGUUUUUUAUCGUCACUUCUUUGAGAAUCUCUCUCUGUUUUUCUACCAGUGAUUUUAUAAUUGGACUUUAAUCAGGAGAAAGGUGAAAAUAUUUCUUUUUAUAAGCAUCGUAUCACAAUGAUAAAUAAACUAUUUUCUAUGUUUAUUACUGAAAGACUGAUAAGUCUAUUCGCACAAUUUCAUAUUAAGACAAUUAAAACAAAAAAAGCAAAUUUGAUUGCGAAAUUUUGUCCAUAAUUCGAAAAAUCUGUUUCUUGUUUUUCUAUUUGAAAUCGUUUCUUUCUGUAAAGAUUUUGCCAAUUCGUAUUUUAUUUCAAUGUUUUUGUCCCGUUUUUAAAUAUUUAAUUGUCUGAAAAUAU
This is an RNA transcript of Leptopilina heterotoma, 5712 nucleotides long. It is a transcript of the gene named tyrosine-protein phosphatase 69D, with no coding region annotated. The transcript is spliced from 12 exons. The record is from RefSeq and is a predicted model, not a curated record. Lineage: Eukaryota; Metazoa; Arthropoda; Insecta; Hymenoptera; Figitidae.